This 567-nucleotide long non-coding RNA is filed under the name Homo sapiens (human). RNAcentral describes it as "HSALNT0129303". The record is from RNAcentral. Lineage: Eukaryota; Metazoa; Chordata; Mammalia; Primates; Hominidae.
CAGAGAAGCAAAGCUCAGAAGAGAGUGCACAGAGUCAGGCUGAAAUUUGAGCUGUCUUCCUAAAUGAAAGGGUGGUCACAGAGAAUCGAGAGGGGAAAUAUGGACUCUGGGAAGGGUAGAUCAGAGAGGAGUUGUAAGAAGCCAGUGGAAGUAUAAGCUUUGUGUCACAAGGGGCUGUUUCUUUUGCCUGUCAUUGCCCGACUCCCAUAUCAACCUGAGCUGUAACAGGCAAUUCUAUUUGACUGACUGAAUGAAUGCAUUAGUGCUACGAAAUUCACGGAUAUGACUUGACAGUAAGUAGCAUUAGGGUUUGGUUGCCAAUUCAAGUUGUCUGUAUUGGAGUUUUUCCUCCCAAGCUAUUUGAAACAUAAAUAAGGACCGUCGGGCUCAGAAAACAUUCAGACAAGAAUAAAGUCUUGGAGAGAGGGUGGGGCUUCUUGGAAUGGGGUUACUCUGCAGAGGGCAGUAACUGCUGGAAGAGGAUCCCACCAGAUUAGUAGUAAUGUAAUAGAAGUAAUAGUACCUAAGGAUGGGCAAGAUACAGCCCCUAUAUUAGUCCAUUUUCAU